This 468-nucleotide ribosomal RNA is filed under the name uncultured bacterium. RNAcentral describes it as "partial 16S ribosomal RNA". It matches the Rfam family "Bacterial small subunit ribosomal RNA", at positions 28 to 507 of the family's 1533-position model. The record is from RNAcentral.
GACGAACGCUGGCGGCGUGCUUAACACAUGCAAGUCGAACGGAAAGGCCCUGCUUUUGUGGGGUGCUCGAGUGGCGAACGGGUGAGUAACACGUGAGUAACCUGCCCUUGACUUUGGGAUAACUUCAGGAAACUGGGGCUAAUACCGGAUAGGAGCUCCUGCUGCAUGGUGGGGGUUGGAAAGUUUCGGCGGUUGGGGAUGGACUCGCGGCUUAUCAGCGUGUUGGUGGGGUAGUGGCUUACCACGGCUUUGACGGGUAGCCGGCCUGAGAGGGUGACCGGCCCCAUGGGGCUUGAGAAGCGGCCAGGAGUCAAACGGGGGGAAGCAGUGGGGAAUAUUGCAAACUGGGCGGAAGCCGGAUGCAGCAACGCCGGGUGCGGGAGGACGGCCUUCGGGUUGUAACCCGCUUUCGCCUGUGACGAAGCGUGAGUGACGGUAACGGGUAAAGAAGCACCGGCUAACUACGUG